GAACAUCCUAAACCCCCAUAAACACAGAACGGGGGCCUCCUCUGCUCCUGGGGGUGGGGGGGCUCUGCUUCUGGAGCUGUCCAGGGGAGCCCCUUCCCUCCUGUGACCCCACAACUAACUGAAAACAUCCUAAACCCCCAUAAACACAGAACGGGGGGCCUCCUCUGCUCCUGGGGGUGGGGGGUGGGGUCUGUUUCCGGAGCGCUCCAG
Molecule: non-coding RNA, 210 nt
Organism: Chelonoidis abingdonii (Abingdon island giant tortoise)
Lineage: Eukaryota; Metazoa; Chordata; Testudines; Testudinidae
Source: RefSeq, a predicted model, not a curated record